RNAcentral lists this ribosomal RNA (253 nucleotides) under uncultured bacterium. RNAcentral's name for it is "partial 16S ribosomal RNA". It matches the Rfam family "Bacterial small subunit ribosomal RNA", at positions 524 to 776 of the family's 1533-position model. The record is from RNAcentral.
UACGUAGGGGGCUAGCGUUGUCCGGAAUCAUUGGGCGUAAAGAGCGCGUAGGCGGCCAGACAAGUCCGGUGUGAAAGUCACAGGCUCAACCUGUGAAUGCCGCUGGAAACUGUCUGGCUAGAGUCCGGAAGGGGCGAGUGGAAUUCCUGGUGUAGCGGUGAAAUGCGCAGAUAUCAGGAGGAACACCUAUGGCGAAGGCAGCUCGCUGGGACGGUACUGACGCUGAGGCGCGAAAGCUAGGGUAGCAAACGGG